RNAcentral lists this transfer RNA (78 nucleotides) under Chlorobium chlorochromatii CaD3. RNAcentral's name for it is "tRNA-Asp". The record is from RNAcentral. Lineage: Bacteria; Pseudomonadati; Chlorobiota; Chlorobiia; Chlorobiales; Chlorobiaceae.
GGUUUUUCAGGAACCAAAAAGCGCCAUUACGCCCGGUCAAGCGGUUGUGUUUUAUUGUGGAGAUGAGGUUUUGGGAGG